RNAcentral lists this transfer RNA (72 nucleotides) under Actinomycetota bacterium. RNAcentral's name for it is "tRNA-Glu". It matches the Rfam family "tRNA". Rfam says of the family: Transfer RNA (tRNA) molecules are approximately 80 nucleotides in length. RNAcentral also lists the same sequence under 1 other name. The record is from RNAcentral. Lineage: Bacteria; Bacillati; Actinomycetota.
GGCCCCGUCGUCUAAUGGUCAGGACUCCAGAUUUUCAUUCUGGCAACGGGGGUUCGAUUCCCCCCGGGGCUA